GGGUUUGUAUAAUUCUGUGGUUUGCAGUUGUGGCAGUGCCAAGUGUUUGUCCGUGACUCAGAGGGAUGAAUAGUCAGAAGCAGGCAAGCAAUCCGUUAGCUUGGCGCAGGCGCUGGUAGUGUCAGGAGGUUAGCCUCUACCAAAAGAGGAGAAAUGCAGAUCCUGGCUUUGGAGGUGUUUAACGGCACAUUUGACGGAGCUGAGGACCGAGUAACAAAAGUGAUGAAUCCUUGUUGCUGCCACUGGAGAUGGGAUGUCAGUGUUAUCCACACAAACACAACUAAACAAGGAAACACAGCAGGAUUCAAGUAAACAGCUUAGAACCUGCUGGUUGUGAUGCAGCCGAGAGAUAUAUCUGUUGACAUGGUGAUCAAAGCCGAGCACUGAUGGCACGACUUCAGUGUGAGUCGACGCGGAAGGUUCAGCUCAGAAGGAUCAAGGGUCUUUAUCGCAGAGGAAGCUGCUGAAUUCAAAGCGAUGAAGGUGCCACAACCCAAGCUUCUUCUCUCUGGUUCCGCUCAGUGUUUGGUUUUGAAUCAAAUAUCCAAACACAACAUGAGAUCCAAUAAAAAUGUAUUGAUCCUUGU
This is a long non-coding RNA of Siniperca chuatsi (mandarin fish), 587 nucleotides long. RefSeq lists it as uncharacterized. The transcript has 4 exons. NCBI's taxonomy places the organism in Eukaryota, Metazoa, Chordata, Actinopteri, Centrarchiformes, Sinipercidae. The record is from RefSeq and is a predicted model, not a curated record.